RNAcentral lists this unclassified non-coding RNA (2561 nucleotides) under Leishmania donovani. RNAcentral's name for it is "gene:LdHU3.27.0760(CDS-product:Domain_of_unknown_ function_(DUF4470)/Domain_of_unknown_function_(DUF4471)_put ative)". The record is from RNAcentral. Lineage: Eukaryota; Euglenozoa; Kinetoplastea; Trypanosomatida; Trypanosomatidae.
GAUAGCCACGGCUCCUACGGCGUGCGGCUUUGUGUGCGUGCGCGCACAGCAUACGCCUGCCCGCGUGCAGAGCUCCGGCGCCCUGCCACCCGAACACAGGUUCUCUCUCUUUAUUUUCACAGACAGCCCCUGUGCGUGUGUCUGCCCCCGUGCCGCCGUCGCUGAGAUGAGCGACAAGUAUCUGCGAAAUGAGCAGCAGCAUCUGCUGAAUUCUAUCGGCACAGAGGUGUGCUGGGGCUGGUCACCAGCCAUUGAUUUUGUGUCGUUGCUCGCCAAGCGACCGCGUCGUUUUGCGGAGAAUAGCGCAUCGCAAGACGUCAUUGACCGAAUCGUGGACGGGCGACGUGAGGUGCCGCCAUCGGCUUCGCCCGUGUCUGCCGCUAAAACGUCACCCUCCUCGAGGAGCAAAGAUGAGGCUGAGCUCGACGACCUCAUUGCGCAAAUCCAGAGCCGCAAGGCGACGAGCACUAAGGCUGCGGAGGCCGCCCCAGGAGAGUCAGCUGAAUCGCAGCCUCACUGCAGUCCACCUUACUCUUCUUCCACAGCAUCCCCUGCGCCCGCUGCGGUAGCGGACGACGAGGUGAACAUCUUACUCGCCGGUGCGUCUGACAUUCGCCACCUGCUUCGCACCUUGUCUUCCCUUCGCGCUGCCGAGUCUGCCGACGGCACGCGAAGGCCGCAGCCGACGUACCACUUCUACGUCUAUGAGCCAAACCUGCGCCUGCACUGCCGCCACCUCUUCUUUCUCCAGUGGUUGCUCGACAGCAUGUUUGCGCUCGAGGAGCUGGAGGAGCGUGUUCUUAUGUUUUUGGACGUGUAUGGUAACGCGCUGAUGCGCGACAUAACCGCUGCGCAGGUACGCAACGUGGUGCAGCGGCUCCGCAAGGCGCUCGAGACCGACUCUUCUUCGCUGCUCCGCAUCGCCUCGUUUGAGGAGAUGAAGAGCAAGGAGCGCGACUUUGUGGAGGGCCAACUGGCACACUGGACCCGCGACGCCUCCACGGCGAACAUCAGGGAGCAGUGGGCGCAGCGCGUCCGGCAGGAGAUGGCGGAACGCUACGACAACCGCGACAACAUCAUCGACUGGGACUUUGUCUUUCACUUAACGGAGUACACAAACCUGCUCAAGUUCCCGGAGUACCGCACGUGGCGCAACACCGGCGUCGCCUUCGACGUCAGUCACAUCAAUCCGCGACGAGGCUUCAGCUACGAGUACAAGGUCCCCAACAAGACCCUCUGCUUCUUCUCCGGCGCCGGCCGCGGUGUCUACGCAGGGGACAUCAAGAAUGGGCCAUUUUUCUCCUUCGGUGCGCUCACGCAAAACGCGCACAUUCGCCAACGCACGACGGACGGAACGUGCAGGCACGGGAACGGCGUCGUUUCCAUGCACAACGUGCGCGCCUGGCUGUACACGCUCAUGACCGGCUUGCCGUGGCCGUGGGCCGACCACGCCUUCGCCUGGGACGACGCCAACAAUUACAACUACCUUCCUCCUGGUACACCGAGCGGCGUCGCCUACACCGCCGCACUGCCGAAGGUGCGCGUGCAUCUUGUGGGGCUGGAGUGGGACCGCUUUGUGCGGCACUGCAAGGAAGGCCAGGUGCCACGCAUGGAUGCAGCCUUCUUUGGCACCUCCUGCACUCAGUACAUGACCCCCACCGUGCUGGGCGACGUCAUGUCCGGCGCGGCGCACGCGGUGGUGGUGGCGGAGACGGCUAAGUUCAUCGUGGACGCCGAGGACGUGGCGAAGAAGGUCUAUAUCGCAAAGCUGGACGAUCUAGCCCACGCAGGCGGGUGGGCAAGGGAUGACGCGUUGACGAACGACCUCCACGAGGGCAAACCUGAUCCACUGCCCGUGAAGGGGACGAUGACCGAUGCACAGAAAGUCUCACAGGAGCGGUACAUGCAGCCAUCGCUGCUCGCCUACGUCGCGAAGGCUCCUGCGUAGCCCGUGCGCGAGAAAGGAAGGCAGCAUGGACGUGAAGCGUGCUGUGGUGGUGAUGAGGCGUACAUGAAAGCGGAGUCGGCGCAUCCUCUCUCUCUCCCUCACGCUGCGUGUCUGCCGACACGUACGCGCAUCCACCGAGCGAUUUAGAGCGCACAUUCUUGUUUGACUCACACAGAACUUUCUCAUUUAUUGCAUCGCACCCUGACUGCUCCAUGUCGCCGCCACACUGCCGCACUGGAUUUGCACGCAGGGCCUGCCUUCUGCUUGUGCGAGCGCAGCGGAGGAAAGAGCUAAACGUGCGGCGCACAUUCCCCAUGAUGGCCAAGACGACGGCGAAGGGUGGGCAGUCGGUGAGUUCAAGAGAGGCCGACAUAUUGUUUUCUGUUUACUUGUUUGGGUGGACGUCCCCUCUUCGCCAUAGAUGAAGCAAAGAAAAAGCCGCACAACGCCUCAACUGCGCCGACUCAACCGCGCACGAGCACCUUCGGUAGGAAGAAAAAAAGCACGUUGCUCUCCGUCACCCCUUCUACGCCGCUGCUCGCAUGCUUCGAGGGAUUCCUCUGGAGACUCGAUCCCCCUACCCGGCCCCUCCCACAGGGCUGUAAAUGGAGCG